This 2619-nucleotide long non-coding RNA is filed under the name Populus trichocarpa (black cottonwood). RNAcentral's name for it is "long non-coding RNA (PTRI_LNC004338)". The record is from RNAcentral. Lineage: Eukaryota; Viridiplantae; Streptophyta; Magnoliopsida; Malpighiales; Salicaceae.
GGGCGGUUCGCUGGGUUGAACCGGGAAUAUUCUGCGGAAUAUUCUAUCGGCUCGGCUGCGGCUAAUAGUGGCUCGGCUUAGCGGCUCGGCUUAACAAGGGAAUAUUCUCGGGAAUAUUCUUCGGCUCGGCUGGAGGCUUGGCUUGAGGCUCGGCGCGGCGCGGCUUAACCGGCUCCAAUAUGGCGCGCGUGUGGCUCAGGCGUCGUCUACCUCUGGGCGCGUGGCUGCGCGUGGUCAAACAGUGCAGAAUCUUCAGGCGGCGCGUGUGGGCUACCUCCGUCUCCGAUCAAGCUGAUUUUUGCGGUAGUGAGUUCGUCUGGAUGAGAUCUACACUGUGGAAUGAUCAAAACUUGUUUAUGACAACUUUGAAAAUUCGGAUAUCUCCCAAAAACACUUCUGUUUUCUGACGAACGGGGCUCUGAUACCAAUUGUUGGUGGGAGAAACCACUGGUGGUGGCUUUGAAACACUCGGAGGGGAUAAAACACAAAGUUGUAUUUCAAGAACAGAAGCUUACAGAAGCAAAAAUAAACACAAAAGCUUAAUACACGCCCUCUCUCUUUCUCUCUAGUGUUUCUCUCUACUCUCUCCACACAUAAUAGCAUAAGCUCAGCUUGCUAUUUAUACACGAAUUCAAAACAAGAUAAUUCAACCUUCAAGUAUGAAGGCGGCUGGCGGCCAAUGGUGUGAAGGCGGCUGGCGGCUGGUCGGUCACAGCUGGUGGCUGGCUGGCCGGUGGUUGCCUUCCUUGACCUUCUAGAUUGAUUGAGUUUAAUACAACAAAUCUCCCCUUUGAACUCAAUCGAGGGAUGUCAUGCCAAGCAUGAACUUCAUUCUAAUAAAUGUUUCCCUCUUCAAUGGCUUUGUAUUUUUGCACUUUUUCUUUUGCAUUCUUCUUUGUCUUAUAGACCCAUUUGACACCUAUUGCUUUCUUGCUUUCUGGUGGAUAAGUCAGCUUCCAGGUAUCAUUCUUCUCAAUGGCAUGCAUUUCUUCAUCCAUUGCUUCUAUCUUCUCUUCUGUGAUAGCUUUGUUGAAGCUAAGUGGGUCAUUAUCUGCAAAGAAACAAAACAAAUCUGUAUCUUCCAUUACUUGAGUGGCAUCGUACAGCUCUUCAAGAUUUCUCAUCCUUCUUGGUUCUUCUGACGAGGAUGUUGCUGCUGGUGUUGAUGAUGAUGCUCCUGGUGUGUUCCUCCUGUUGAAUACAGGGAAUCUGUGUACCGGACUUUGUGGUUCAGCUGUUGGUAUAAUCACCGGACUUUGUGGUUCAGCUGCUGGUACAAUUGGUUCUUCGACAAGUACUGUUGGUACUUCUUCACCUUCAAGGAUCAAAUCAAUGUUGAUCCAUCUGACUGCUUCUUUAUUAUCAGUCCAUUCCCAAGAUUUAUCUUCUUCAAAGAUAACAUCUCUACUCAUAAUCACCUUCUUCGUGAUGGGAUUAUACAGCUUGUAUCCCAUCCUUCUUUCACCAUAUCCCACAAAGAUGCAUCUCUCGCUUUUAUCAUCGAGUUUUCUCCUUCUUGCAUCUGGGAUCUUUGCAUAUGCCACACAACCAAAGACUCGUAGAUGAGUAACACUUGGUUUGUGACCACUCCAUGCUUCUUCUGGAGUGACUCCUUGCAAACUUCUGGUUGGGCAGCGAUUCAGUAGAUACACUGCACAUGAUACAGCUUCAGCCCAGUAUUGCUUGGGCAACUUCUUUGCUUUGAGCAGACUUCUUGCCAUGUCAAGAAUCGUGCGAUUCUUCCUUUCAGCUACACCAUUCAGCUGUGGUGUAUAAGCUGGUGUUGUCUGAUGUCUGAUGUCUUGUUGUGUACAAUAGGCUUCAAAGUCAUUUGCUGUAUAUUCUCCACCUUGAUCAGAUCUCACUGUUCUGAUCAUGUAGCCACUUUGCUUCUCCACAAUUGCUUUAAAAUCUUUAAAACAAUUGAAUACUUCUGACUUCCUCUUCAGAAAGUAUAUCCACGUCUUUCUACUAAAAUCAUCAAUAAAAGUGAGGAAGUACCUAUUAUGUCCAGUCGACAUAGGCGUAAUUGGGCCACACACAUCUGUGUGUACUAACUCCAGUGGCCUCUUUGCUUUCCAGUUGACUUCUUUGGCAAAACUGGAUCUGUGAUGUUUGCUGAGGACACAACUUUCACAGACUUCAUCUGGAUGAUCAAUGUGAGGCAAACCUUUGACCAUCUUCUUGCUUGCUAGCAUCUUCAAGCUCGUGAAAUUCAGAUGUCCAAGCCUCAGGUGCCAAAGCCAUUCUUCACUGUUGGUGAUGGCACUCAAACACCUUGCUGCAUCAUACUGGAUGUUCAAAGGAAACAUCCUAUUCUUGGACAUUUUCACAUAAGCCAUUAAUCUCCAAUUGUUGUCUCUAAUUGUCAGAUGACAAUUCUUCGAGUAAAAAGUAUAUCCUCUCUCCAAAAGUUGACCUAAGCUGAUCAGGUUCUGCUUUAUGGCUGGGACAUAAUAGACAUUGGCUUAACCGGCUCCAAUAUGGCGCGCGUGUGGCUCAGGCGUCGUCUACCUCUGGGCGCGUGGCUGCGCGUGGUCAAACAGUGCAGAAUCUUCAGGCGGCGCGUGUGGGCUACCUCCGUCUCCGAUCAAGCUGAUUUUUGCGGUAGUGAGUUCG